UCGAGCGAGACCUUCGGGUCUAGCGGCGGACGGGUUAGUAACGCGUGGGAACGUGCCCUUUACUACGGAAUAGUCCCGGGAAACUGGGUUUAAUACCGUAUACACCCUUCGGGGGAAAGAUUUAUCGGUAAAGGAUCGGCCCGCGUUAGAUUAGAUAGUUGGUGGGGUAAUGGCCUACCAAGUCUACGAUCUAUAGCUGGUUUGAGAGGAUGAUCAGCAACACUGGGACUGAGACACGGCCCAGACUCCUACGGGAGGCAGCAGUGGGGAAUCUUAGACAAUGGGCGCAAGCCUGAUCUAGCCAUGCCGCGUGAGUGACGAAGGCCUUAGGGUCGUAAAGCUCUUUCGCCAGGGAUGAUAAUGACAGUACCUGGUAAAGAAACCCCGGCUAACUCCGUGCCAGCAGCCGCGGUAAUACGGAGGGGGUUAGCGUUGUUCGGAAUUACUGGGCGUAUAGCGCACGUAGGCGGACUGGAAAGUUGGGGGUGAAAUCCCGGGGCUCAACCUCGGAACUGCCUCCAAACU
RNAcentral lists this ribosomal RNA (525 nucleotides) under uncultured prokaryote. RNAcentral's name for it is "bacterial SSU rRNA". It matches the Rfam family "Bacterial small subunit ribosomal RNA", at positions 62 to 634 of the family's 1533-position model. The record is from RNAcentral.